RNAcentral lists this ribosomal RNA (426 nucleotides) under Vreelandella aquamarina. RNAcentral describes it as "bacterial SSU rRNA". It matches the Rfam family "Bacterial small subunit ribosomal RNA", at positions 879 to 1304 of the family's 1533-position model. Lineage: Bacteria; Pseudomonadati; Pseudomonadota; Gammaproteobacteria; Oceanospirillales; Halomonadaceae. The record is from RNAcentral.
AGUACGGCCGCAAGGUUAAAACUCAAAUGAAUUGACGGGGGCCCGCACAAGCGGUGGAGCAUGUGGUUUAAUUCGAUGCAACGCGAAGAACCUUACCUACUCUUGACAUCCUGCGAAUUCGGUAGAGAUACCUUAGUGCCUUCGGGAACGCAGAGACAGGUGCUGCAUGGCUGUCGUCAGCUCGUGUUGUGAAAUGUUGGGUUAAGUCCCGUAACGAGCGCAACCCUUGUCCUUAUUUGCCAGCGCGUAAUGGCGGGAACUCUAAGGAGACUGCCGGUGACAAACCGGAGGAAGGUGGGGACGACGUCAAGUCAUCAUGGCCCUUACGAGUAGGGCUACACACGUGCUACAAUGGUCGGUACAAAGGGUUGCCAACUCGCGAGAGUGAGCCAAUCCCGAAAAGCCGAUCUCAGUCCGGAUCGGAGU